RNAcentral lists this ribosomal RNA (515 nucleotides) under Culicinae sp. BAH_28365_A06. RNAcentral's name for it is "partial 16S ribosomal RNA". It matches the Rfam family "Bacterial large subunit ribosomal RNA", at positions 1839 to 2613 of the family's 2925-position model. The record is from RNAcentral. Lineage: Eukaryota; Metazoa; Arthropoda; Insecta; Diptera; Culicidae.
UUUAAUUUAAAGUCUAACCUGCCCACUGAUAAUAUUAAAGGGCCGCAGUAUUCUGACUGUGCGAAGGUAGCAUAAUCAAUAGUCUUUUAAUUGGAGGCUUGUAUGAAUGGUUGAAUGAGAUAUAUACUGUCUUUUUUAAAUUUUUAUAGAAUUUUAUUUUUUAAUUAAAAAGUUAAAAUGUAAUUAAAGGACGAGAAGACCCUAUAGAUCUUUAUUUUUGUUGAUUAUAAAUUAAAAAGAAUAUUUAAAUUUAUAUUUUAAUAAAAAAUUUUACUGGGGUGGUAUUAAAAUUUAAAUAACUUUUAUUAUUUAUUUACAUUAAUAUAUGAAUAAUUGAUCCAGUUAUAUUGAUUAAAAAAUUAAGUUACCUUAGGGAUAACAGCGUAAUUUUUUUUUAGAGUUCAUAUCGACAAAAAAGAUUGCGACCUCGAUGUUGGAUUAAGAGUUAUUUUUAGGUGUAGAAGUUUAAAGUUUAGGUCUGUUCGACCUUUGAAUUCUUACGUGAUCUGAGUUCA